Molecule: long non-coding RNA, 355 nt
Filed under: Homo sapiens (human)
Lineage: Eukaryota; Metazoa; Chordata; Mammalia; Primates; Hominidae
Description: HSALNT0361816
Source: RNAcentral
ACCAAUCAAUUUUUUAAUUUCCUUCUGUAAACGGGAGUGAAUCGGGGUGGAUUUGAAAUCUCAUUAGUCAAAAAUCUGAAAUUACAACAGGCUGAGUGGAGCGGGAAUGAGCCUGUGUGUUGCUCAAGCUGUGAAGAGCCAAGUUACAGAAGAGGUAGAGGAAAUAUGACAGGGCUCAAACAACGGCUGCUGAAUUAUAAUAUUUCUGAAGGCCCUAAAGUAUGCUCUUUCUUCCCUCACCCCCUUGCCCCUGAGCCAGUCAGGGAUGAGACUGGCAGAGCACUACUACUACAUCCCUUCUGCUUUCUGUCAUAAACCUGGAACACUCUAGCAUGAUUAAAGAGAUUCAAACAAU